This 84-nucleotide transfer RNA is filed under the name unidentified. RNAcentral describes it as "Aquiluna sp. KACHI24 tRNA-Leu". It matches the Rfam family "tRNA". Rfam says of the family: Transfer RNA (tRNA) molecules are approximately 80 nucleotides in length. Their secondary structure includes four short double-helical elements and three loops (D, anti-codon, and T loops). The record is from RNAcentral.
GCGCGAGUGGCGAAAUGGCAGACGCGCUGGCUUCAGGUGCCAGUGUCCGCAAGGACGUGCGGGUUCAAGUCCCGCCUCGCGCAC